ACCUAGCCCGGAUGGAAGCGAAAAGCUUCGCAGAAUUACUCCCUUAUUUUCUUGCCAUAAAAGAGCGACCAAAGGAAGCUCCUUUUAGGGCUUUAGAAAAAAGGGAGUAGUUCAAGUCCCGAAGUAUCGGGAUUGUAGCGCACAGCCGAAAUAGCU
Molecule: unclassified non-coding RNA, 156 nt
Filed under: Flavobacterium fryxellicola
Lineage: Bacteria; Pseudomonadati; Bacteroidota; Flavobacteriia; Flavobacteriales; Flavobacteriaceae
Description: Flavo-1 RNA
Source: RNAcentral